This 62-nucleotide transfer RNA is filed under the name Elateroidea sp. 7 KM-2017. RNAcentral describes it as "tRNA-Cys". The record is from RNAcentral. Lineage: Eukaryota; Metazoa; Arthropoda; Insecta; Coleoptera.
GGCCUUGUAGUCAACUAUGAUUUUAAAUUGCAAGUUUAAAGGUGAAUUGUAUUCUAAGGCUU